GGGUCCUUCCCCCCUCCUGCUGCCACCCCAAAUUUGAUAGACCUCCAUGUCAACCCCCAUGUCCCCCCUGUCCCAUUCUGUCCCACUCUGUCCCCCCUGAAGCCCACAUAUCCCUAUGGUUUCCAUGCUUACCAACCAUCCCAAUGGCAGCCGCCAUGUUUCUAGGCCUCACCUCCCAUUUCAGCCCUAAAUCUCCAAUUUUUGGGAUGCUGACCCCCCCCAGUGUCCUCCCAAAUUCAGAAGCCCCCAUAUUAACUCCCUGUGUCCCCACUGUCCUCUCUUGUCCCUCAUGUCCCAUCUGAGGCCCACAUAUCCUUAUGGUUUUCAUACUUACCAACCAUCCCAAUGGCGGCUGCCAUGUUGCUAGGCCUCAUCUCCCAUUUUUGCCCUAAAAUCCCAAUGUUUGGGGUGCUGAACCACCCAAUGUCCCCUAAAGAUGGGUGGCCCCCAUUUUCUUUCCUGCAUCCCAUUCUGUCCCUCCUGAGCCCCACGUAUCCCUAUGGUUUCCAUGGUUACCAACCAUCCUAAUGGCGGCCGCCAUGUUGUUAGGCCUCAUCUCCCAUUUUCACCCCAAAAUCUCCUAUUCUGGGGUCCUUCCCCCCUCCUGCUGCCACCCCAAAUUUGAUAGACCUCCAUGUCAACCCCCAUGUCCUCCUUGUCCCAUUCUGUCCCACUCUGUCCCCCCUCAAGCCCACAUAUCCUUAUGGUUUCCAUGUUUACCAACCAUCCCAAUGGCGGCCGCCAUGUUGCUAGGCCUCAUCUCCCAUUUUUGCCCUAAAAUCCCAAUUUUUGGGGUGCUGAACCCCCCCCAAUGUCCUCCCAAAUUCAGAAGCCCCCAUAUUAACUCCCCGUGUCCCCACUGUCCUCUCUUGUCCCUCGUGUCCCAUCUGAGGCCCACAUAUCCCUCUGUUUUCCAUGGUUACCAACCAUCCCAAUGGCGACCACCAUGUUGCUAGGCCUCAUCUCCCAUUUUCGCCCCAAAAUCUCCUAUUCUGGGGUCCUUCCCCCCUCCUGCUGCCACCCCAAAUUUGAUAGACCUCCAUGUCA
RNAcentral lists this long non-coding RNA (1047 nucleotides) under Coturnix japonica (Japanese quail). Its description in RNAcentral is "lncRNA (ENSCJPG00005002095.1)". The record is from RNAcentral. Lineage: Eukaryota; Metazoa; Chordata; Aves; Galliformes; Phasianidae.